This 253-nucleotide ribosomal RNA is filed under the name uncultured bacterium. RNAcentral's name for it is "partial 16S ribosomal RNA". It matches the Rfam family "Bacterial small subunit ribosomal RNA", at positions 524 to 776 of the family's 1533-position model. The record is from RNAcentral.
GACGAAGGGGGCUAGCGUUGUUCGGAAUUACUGGGCGUAAAGCGCGCGUAGGCGGCUUUUCAAGUCAGACGUGAAAGCCUCAGGCUUAACCUGGGAACUGCGUUUGAUACUGUUAAGCUAGAGUGUGGAAGGGGCUACUGGAAUUCCGUGUGUGGCGGUGAAAUGCGUAGAUAUACGGAGGAACACCAGCGGCGAAGGCGGGUAGCUGGGCCAACACUGACGCUGAUGCGCGAAAGCUAGGGUAGCAAACGGG